Molecule: long non-coding RNA, 335 nt
Filed under: Panax ginseng (ginseng)
Lineage: Eukaryota; Viridiplantae; Streptophyta; Magnoliopsida; Apiales; Araliaceae
Description: long non-coding RNA (PGIN_LNC001131)
Source: RNAcentral
UCUGUCCAAGAACUAACUGUAGAGGAGAAAAUUUAUGAAGAGCUGUUGGUCUUACCCGAAUGACGGCUGCAACAUGAAGAAUUACAUGACCCCAAACUGAGGUAGGUAAGUUAGCCCUUAACAUUAAUGGGCGUGCAAUUAGUUGAAAUAUCUAUUAAAAUCAUGAAAUAUCAAAAUGGGCCAGACAAUGGGUGAAUAGGUCCACAAAUGUCUCCUUGAAUUCUCUCUAAGAAUUUUGGGGCUUCUUUAUAAACUUUUACUGGUGAUGAUCGAACAAUUAACUUUCUUCGAGAACACGCAGCACAAGGAAAUUCACUACUAGGAAAAACCUUUUU